UUCCGCAAUAAGAUUGUAAAAUAGCGUUUAUGUUAUCAGGAACCGACCUCGGAAAAUUCGCCAGCUAAACAUUAUCAAUAUUAUAAAAUGUACACAAGUGUGAAUGUAUAGUUUACAGUGUAUCUCGGGGUUUAUGUUAAUUUAUCUACAUUUUCUAAAAAAAGUUUAUUUGUAUUUAUGUCCGUGUUAAUAAUAACGCGAAAUAUCGGUUUAGAUUGACCUCUUCAUAUAGCUAGACGACUGUAGAUUAUUAUAUUGCCU
Non-coding RNA from Cinara cedri, 261 nucleotides. The record is from the annotation of a GenBank genome assembly. Lineage: Eukaryota; Metazoa; Arthropoda; Insecta; Hemiptera; Aphididae.